UCUCCCUCCAAUUUAUUUCGCGGCAAAAUAUUCCCUCUACCGCCGCAUAAUAGAGCAAACCUCUCUCCCUCAUCAUCACCAAGUAAUCUUAGUUUUCCUGCCGAAAUUCGUCGUUAAUUAUUGAUAUUUCUCAGAUCUAGUGUUGUUUCUGUGUCGAAUUGAUGAAAAUUUCACCAAUGCCUAAAAAUUCUGGGUCACUGGUGCGCAUAUCUGCUUGAAUUUUUAUAUUAUCGAUCUAUAAGAAACAGUGGAUAGGCGAUGUGGGUGUGGCUUUUCGAAUUAUUCUUCGGUACCAAGCAAAAUUUAUCUUCUUUUAUAGAGGAAUAACAGUAAUCGCAAGUUUGUCUGCUGCUCCAAUUUGGAGCUUGAAAUAUUUAAUGCAGAAAUCUGGAUCAAUCUGGUUAAACUUCAAUGAUAAAUGGGAGACACGAAUAUAUACCAAACUAAAGGAGGUGAAGCACCAUAUACGAUCUUCUGGACUAAUUCCAUAUGGAAGCGCCCAGUUAAAGUGGUAGAGGAGCCGAGCCAAAGGAUGUUUAACAUUAGCUGAACCAAAUUACAUUCUUGGACAAAUUCUUUUUCCUGCAUCAAAUGGAAUAAGCUGAAAGUGAUUUCCAAUAAAGUCAACAGAAGAAUUUUCAAAUCUCUCUUGUAUAAAACUCUCAGGGUCAUGCCAACUUUCUGGAUCUCUUCCGAGUGCCCACGAAUUGAUUAGUACUCUGGUCCUGGGAGGUACUUUAUAUCCAUUAAUAUUGUAGACAAUAAAUUUGCGUCGAGAAAAUAAAAUCAAGAUUGAAAAAUAUCGUAACAAUCGUAGUAUUUUAUUUUGAAUA
Molecule: long non-coding RNA, 833 nt
Organism: Nicotiana tabacum (common tobacco)
Lineage: Eukaryota; Viridiplantae; Streptophyta; Magnoliopsida; Solanales; Solanaceae
Source: RefSeq, a predicted model, not a curated record